UACGUAGGGUGCAGGCGUUAAUCGGAAUUACUGGGCGUAAAGCGUGCGCAGGCGGUUUGCUAGGACAGGUGUGAAAUCCCCGGGCUUAACCUGGGAACUGCGCUUGUAACUGGCAAGCUGGAGUGUGGCAGAGGGGGGUGGAAUUCCACGUGUAGCAGUGAAAUGCGUAGAGAUGUGGAGGAACACCGAUGGCGAAGGCAGCCCCCUGGGCUAACACUGACGCUCAUGCACGAAAGCGUGGGGAGCAAACAGG
Molecule: ribosomal RNA, 253 nt
Filed under: uncultured bacterium
Lineage: Bacteria
Description: partial 16S ribosomal RNA
Rfam family: Bacterial small subunit ribosomal RNA
Source: RNAcentral